Molecule: ribosomal RNA, 164 nt
Filed under: uncultured bacterium
Lineage: Bacteria
Description: partial 16S ribosomal RNA
Rfam family: Bacterial small subunit ribosomal RNA
Source: RNAcentral
UAGGGAAUCUUCCACAAUGGACGAAAGUCUGAUGGAGCAACGCCGCGUGAGUGAUGAAGGGUUUCGGCUCGUAAAACACUGUUGUAAGAGAAGAAUGACAUUGAGAGUAACUGUUCAAUGUGUGACGGUAUCUUACCAGAAAGGAACGGCUAAAUACGUGCGAG